GAGAAAGAGAUGUUGGUUAAAGGGGGAGGGGAAAGGAGGGAGGAGGAAGGGAUAAACAACAAGAGGGGAGAAGUGGAAGAAACAGGUGAAUGUGGUAUUAAGAAAAGAUAGAUACAAUCGUGGCCUUUUUCUCUGUAUCUUAUUUUUCAUACACUGUAAAUAUUUUGCCUCUGUGUUAUUGCCAAGUUCCUGCAACCCAGACCACGCCCACAUCCCAACCAGGGACCGCCCCUUUCUGUAAUCCACACCCACAAAUCCUUAAACUCACUCCAGUGGACCAUGUGACCUACAGCAAAGGGACCAGGAUGCAGCAGUUUAUCAAUAGUGUUGUAUUUAAAAUGAAACACCAGCCAUGCAGAUAUUUCAAAUACAUACAUAGUAUUUAAAGAGAAUAACCGCAAUAUUCUCAGCACAAUAAAGGGGUCCUGUGUAAGUGGAAAUAAAUAUAUUUUAAAGGCUGGUUAAAGCUCAUUUAAAUUGGUGAGCAGUGAUCAUGUUAUUUAAGCUAAUAAGAGGUGAGAGAAUGGAUUUUAAAGAUGGUCAGCGCUCCUUUAAAGGGAGGGGCCAGUGAUCAUGCUAAUAAAGCUAAUGAUAAGUGAGAGAAUGGAUUUUAAAGAUGGUCAGCGCUCCUUUAAAGGGAGGGGCCGGUGAUCAUGUUAAUAAAGCUAAUGAUAAGUGAGAGAAUGGAUUUUAAAGUCUUAAGUUAGAACUUCUUUAAAUACAUCACUAUAGAUUUAAGAAUUAGUAGCUUCAAAUGUUCUUUGAUUGCUUUUAUUAUCCCUGUGACUUUCGAGGUGUUUGCAAUCAGUCAGAGUGCUUGUGCUGCUUCAGUAUUGAAAGCAUGUGACAUUAUGACCUUUCACCUGCUCUCUCUGUCUGUGUACCUGCAGAGUGGGCGGGGCUGGCAGAGGUGAGAGGUCGCACUGUCACAUGAUUUGAAAGGCAUGAGGAAGGCUUAGUUUUGUGGUUUCGAAUUCUCCAGACAAGCUCAAAGCAGAUUUAAAGAAAGAUUCUGAUAACUUUACUGGAGCAACAGAACCACUGUGAAUGAUCCCAAACACCACAGUAAGGGAAAGGUACUGAAUCAAAGCAAUGACAGUUAAUAUUGAAGAGGAUUAAACCGCUGCUCCCUGCUAAACCUGCCAAGCUGCCUAUCCAGUAUUUUUAAUUGCACAGCAGUGGCUAAAAGUUUUGUGUCAACUAGAAUUUUUGGAUUGAGACAUAAUUUAUAUAUAUAGGAAGAUCAUUUAUAUAUAUAUAGGAAGAUAAUAUAGGAACAUCAUUUAUAUAUUUUAUUUAACAUCAUGUAACUACAAAAUGAUAUCACAAAAGUCUACCAGAAGCCAUAAUAGUAGUACUUUUAUUACUAUUUGUUUAUUUAGCAGACACCUUUAUCCAAGGCGACUUACAGAGACUCGGGUGUGUGAACUAUGCAUCAGCUGCACAGUCACUUACAAUUACGUCUCACCCGAAAGACGGAGCACAAGGAGGUGAAGUGACUUGCUCAGGGUCACACAAUGAGUCAGUGGCUGAGGUGGGAUUUGAACCGGGGACCUCCUGGUUACAAGCCAUUUUCUUUAACCACUGGACCACACAGCCUCCUAUGUCAUAAGUACAGUAGUAUUUCAUGUUAGAUGUCGAAAUGUCACAUUUCUCUGUUUUCAGUUUUUCAUUAAGCAUGUGGAAAACUACAAAGUGCUGUGUGAUUCAGUAUGUUAACGUGACAUUAUUCAGCUAUUUUUAUUCGACUUUAUGAUGCAGAACGAGUUCAUUCUAUAGGGUGGUGCAAAACUUUUGGCCAGAGCUGUAGUUUCAGUUUCAUGUUUUGUAUUAAAAAAAGUGUAACGUUCCAGUGAUGUUAAAGCUGUAAAGCACCAUAAGUAUAACAAAUAUGUUUGUGUCGGUUGCUGUUUUACUUGCUGAUCCUCAGAGAAACCACCUGCAAGGAGCUGUAUCAGUCGUGUGCACGUGUAUUAAAACAACUCAAUGGGUUUUGCACACAAAACAUCUUUCAUUUACUGCAAACUCAUCUGACAUGAAGCUAAUUCAAAACUAAAACCACAGCGAUGUCUGAAGGUAUCUUACAUUCUAAUAUUUAGCAUGGCCACCUUUGGCAUCAGUAACAGUUUGGCAUCUUUUUGGCAUUGUGGUGUAAUUUGAUUCCAUUGUUCCUGAAGUUGUAUCCACAGACUUUCUUUUUGUACAGUUGGCAAGCUUGGAGUCCAAUAAGCUACAGAAGCAAUGAGGUGUUCUAGGAAAUCUGCACAUUACUGUGUAUGCGUUUAAUGAUAUAGAGAGUCAGAGCUGUGUGGUUACUCAGAUCUUCCAAGUAAUGCCUUUCAGCAGCUUUUAAGUCAGCAGGUAUUCAUUCAAAUAGAAAGAAACCUGUUAAAAUGGCGACACAUUGCUAAUGCUUUUCCCAUGCUGUGCAAUCUGCAAUGUCAGUCCUUGAUAAUAAGACAGUGGGCUGGAGGCUCAAAGCUGUUCACUUGUUGCCACUGGCACAGCUUGCAAUCAUUCUGAGUUCUUCUUAUUGCAGCUUCUCAAAUAUCAAGCCUUGUACGGUGCUUUGACCAGGCGCUCCUAGUUUCCUGCCAUUGACAUAAGCGAGGUAGGCUGGGUCAGCCAACCUUUAUAUUAAGCGCCAGCACCAUCUAGUGCACAGCUAGAGUAUUGCCCGCAAAACAUUAGGAAAUCCAAAGUGACAGAUCACUAGGUGGCGCUGGCUUCAAUAAGACGGUUUGUGAUGUCAUAAUGUGAUGUCCUGUCUGAUGUCAUAAUGAACCUUCCACCUUUUUGCCUUUUUUGAGUUUAGUCUACAGCCCUGUCGCUCCUUCCUUCCUAGAUUGUGUUUACUUUCCUAAACAGCGAAACUCGUUCAUGUGUUCAACAAGACGGACAGCAGCAUGGACACGAAGACUGUAUUAAUAAAUAUAUGAAUCAGUAAAUAUAAACAAGAAUUGCCUUGUGAAAUAAAGUGUUGCUGUUUUGUAAGAAA
Acipenser ruthenus (sterlet) is the source of this 2998-nucleotide long non-coding RNA. RefSeq lists it as uncharacterized. The transcript is spliced from 2 exons. The record is from RefSeq and is a predicted model, not a curated record. NCBI's taxonomy places the organism in Eukaryota, Metazoa, Chordata, Actinopteri, Acipenseriformes, Acipenseridae.